UAGCGACUAAAAGCUUUGAUGAAGUCUUUUGCAAUAUUAACCUAGGCAUCAUUUCUGUAAACAGGGCUCUUAUACCGGCUGGCUCACAGCCAGAAAUGAGGAAAAAAAAAAAAGGCUGGGAGCAGAGGGGGGCCCCGUGGGAAGGGGCUCUGAGAUGCAAAUCACGGUGGUGGUGCUCAGCACACUUUAAUCCUUUGUCCACUUUAGCUGGGCGCAGAUAAUGCAACUAAUUCAAGUGCUUGUCUCUCUGGUGUGAAUUAGCUGGAUGACAGCCUAAAACCUCUCCCCGGCAACAGCAAACCUGCAAAAAAAGGCAGAAGCACAGCUCCUCUCUGUUCCCAGCUGCCCUGUCCAACUCUUGAGUUUGUCCAGCAGAUUCCUGGCUCCCCUCACAUCUCCCUGGGUGCCUGCUCACUGGGGAGGACUCUCCAGUGGGGCUGCAGACCCCAUGGCUUUCGUCCACCUUCUGGCUGCAGGACACCUUUUCCCCCGGGCAGCCCAACCUGCACAGUUGCUGCAAGGACCCUGGAGAUGUGUUGCCAAGUGCCACAGGACCUCCUCGCUGCCUUCUGCCUGCACAAAGUAUCUGAACUACCAGUGUCACAGCUCAGCAGCUCCAGGAGAUGCCUCACACGAAGCACUUGUGCAGACAGGGCUGGUACACCCAGACAGAAAAGGAGGGCUUAGUUUUUUCUUCACUGCAAUAAUAAGAACCAAAAGCUG
This is a long non-coding RNA of Pseudopipra pipra, 723 nucleotides long. RefSeq lists it as uncharacterized. The transcript is spliced from 2 exons. Lineage: Eukaryota; Metazoa; Chordata; Aves; Passeriformes; Pipridae. The record is from RefSeq and is a predicted model, not a curated record.